RNAcentral lists this ribosomal RNA (491 nucleotides) under uncultured bacterium. RNAcentral describes it as "bacterial SSU rRNA". It matches the Rfam family "Bacterial small subunit ribosomal RNA", at positions 30 to 514 of the family's 1533-position model. The record is from RNAcentral.
AUUGAACGCUGGCGGCAGGCCUAACACAUGCAAGUCGAGCGGUAGAGAGGUGCUUGCAUCUCUUGAGAGCGGCGGACGGGUGAGUAAUGCCUAGGAAUCUGCCUAGUGGUGGGGGAUAACGUUCGGAAACGGACGCUAAUACCGCAUACGUCCUACGGGAGAAAGCGGGGGAUCUUCGGACCUCGCGCCAUUAGAUGAGCCUAGGUCGGAUUAGCUAGUUGGUGAGGUAAUGGCUCACCAAGGCGACGAUCCGUAACUGGUCUGAGAGGAUGAUCAGUCACACUGGAACUGAGACACGGUCCAGACUCCUACGGGAGGCAGCAGUGGGGAAUAUUGGACAAUGGGCGAAAGCCUGAUCCAGCCAUGCCGCGUGUGUGAAGAAGGUCUUCGGAUUGUAAAGCACUUUAAGUUGGGAGGAAGGGUAGUAACCUAAUACGUUGCUACUUUGACGUUACCGACAGAAUAAGCACCGGCUAACUUCGUGCCAGCAG